This 1021-nucleotide long non-coding RNA is filed under the name Fragaria vesca (wild strawberry). RNAcentral describes it as "long non-coding RNA (FVES_LNC001202)". Lineage: Eukaryota; Viridiplantae; Streptophyta; Magnoliopsida; Rosales; Rosaceae. The record is from RNAcentral.
GCUUCGACUUCUUCUAGAAAGUUGUUCGAAAUGUUGAGAGGAAGAUUCUGUAAAAUUUUGGUGGUGAUUGGAGGUGGCCGAAAGUUUCUGCAGUUUUUUUUUUUCUAAAACCCAGCAACUUUAGCCGACGAUAUUUAAACACUAUAUUCGUCGGCUAUAGUAUUUUUUAAUUUUUUUAUAAGGUUAAUUCGUCGGCUAUAGUUAUUUUUUAAUUUUUUUUAUAAGGUUUAGCCGACGAAAUAUAAAAUAUUUCGUAGGCUAUAGUUAUUUUUUUAAAUUUUUUACAAGGUUUAGCCGACGAAAUAUAGUAAAUUUCGUCGGCUAUAGUUAUUUUUUAAUUAUUUAUUACACACUUUAGCCGACGAAUAUCUUAAUUGGUUCGUCGGCUAAAGUCUGGGAAAAAAACCGACGACAUGUUUUUCGUCGGCUAACUGUGGGACUAUAGCCGACGAAAAAAAAUUUCGUCGGCUAAAGUCAUCACCGACGACCCUUUCCCGACGACACUAUAGCCGACGAAGGCUCGUCGGCUAAGAUCUUAGCCGACGAAUUAAGAUAACAGGCCGACGAAAGUGCUUGUCCUGAUAGUGUUAGUACCAAAUAUUAGAUUUUAAUCGGACAGAAAACAAGUCUUAAUCAGAUAUAGUUGCAUGCAUAUGAGCAUAUCGAUCUAGACCAUGCAAUUCGAUUCAGAGCUGACCAGACUUGGAUGACAGUGUGAGUUAAUGAUUAUUGGAGGAUGGACAUGGAACUCAGCAAAAUGGCACAUAAUGCUAGAGAAUAGAAGCUACCAUCCUCCAUAAGAAUUCAUAUUUUUAUGUGUUAGCAGUGUUCGUGAAGGCAACGGUGCCCCAAUAUUUUUGAUCAUAAUGUAAAUAAAUAAGUAACUAACUAUUUAACCAAUUAUUUUGGUGCAGCAAUUUCAUUGACAUCCGGAUAUAUUAUGUACAUGCAAUUUCGCUUAUAGUACACAAUUGUAGUGUAUAAAACCAUUAUGGCUAGCUAGCUAAAUUCUAAGAUGCAU